CUCUUCUGUCACUUUAUGAUAUUGGUCGAGGGUGAUGCGGCAUGUGAUACGGAUUUUGCCCUGUUAUAUACGCUUUAUCAUAUAUUUCACCAGACUUUAUAUAUAUGUCACCAUACUUUAUAUAUCUGUCCCCACACUUUAUAUAUAUAUGUCACCAGACUUUAUAUAUCUGUCACCACACUUUAUAUAUCUGUCACCACACCUUUUAUAUCUGUCACCACAUGCACAUUUUAUAUAUCCGUCACCACACUUUAUAUACCUGUCACCAGACUUUAUAUAUCUGUCACCACACUUUAUAUAUAUAUGUCACCAGACUCCGUCACAACACUUUAUAUAUCUGUCACCACACUUAAUAUAUAUCUGUCACCACACUUUAUAUAUCUGUCACCACACUUUAUAUUCUGUCACCACACUUUAUAUAUCUGCCACCACACUUUCUAUAUCUGUCACUAAACUUUCUAUAUCUGUCACCACACUUUAUACAUCUGUCACCAGACUUUAUAUAUCUGUCACCACACUUUAUAUAUCUGUCACCAGACUUUAUUUAUCUGUCACCACACGUAAUAUAUAUCUGUCACCAGACUCUGUCACCACACUUUAUAUAUCUGUCACCACACUUUGUAUAUCUAUCACCACACUUUAUAUAUCUGUCAUUACACUUGACAUAUCCAUUUCCACACUUUAUAUGUCUAUCACUACUUUAUAUAUCUGUCACCACACUUUAUAUUCUGUCACCACACUUUAUAUAUCUGCCACC
This 757-nucleotide long non-coding RNA is filed under the name Mytilus galloprovincialis (Mediterranean mussel). Lineage: Eukaryota; Metazoa; Mollusca; Bivalvia; Mytilida; Mytilidae. The record is from RNAcentral.